GAUCCAUAUAAAUAUAGUUUGGGGUUAACAAAGGCAUCUACUGACUCAUCAACCUGCAAUUUUGAACCUUUUCUACAGUAAGAACAGUAACAAUAGUUUUAAGGGAAAUGUCAAGAGAUUUUCUUUCCAUUAUUAGCUGAGAUUUGUUUAUUGUAACUAAAUAUAAGGUGAAAGGGUUGAAGAGGCACAAUUACAGGAUAUUUUAAACUAAAACUGAAAACGCAUUUGGA
Molecule: non-coding RNA, 230 nt
Organism: Pelobates cultripes (western spadefoot toad)
Lineage: Eukaryota; Metazoa; Chordata; Amphibia; Anura; Pelobatidae
Source: the annotation of a GenBank genome assembly